UGGGGAAUAUUGCACAAUGGGCGCAAGCCUGAUGCAGCCAUGCCGCGUGUGUGAAGAAGGCCUUCGGGUUGUAAAGCACUUUCAGCGAGGAGGAAGGUGGUGAGCUUAAUACGCUCAUCAAUUGACGUUACUCGCAGAAGAAGCACCGGCUAACUCCGUGCCAGCAGCCGCGGUAAUACGGAGGGUGCAAGCGUUAAUCGGAAUUACUGGGCGUAAAGCGCACGCAGGCGGUUUGUUAAGUCAGAUGUGAAAUCCCCGGGCUCAACCUGGGAACUGCAUUUGAAACUGGCAAGCUAGAGUCUCGUAGAGGGGGGUAGAAUUCCAGGUGUAGCGGUGAAAUGCGUAGAGAUCUGGAGGAAUACCGGUGGCGAAGGCGGCCCCCCUGGACGAAGACUGACGCUCAGGUGCGAAAGCGUGGGGCAGCAAACAGGAUUAGAUACCCUGGUAGUCCACGCUGUAAACGAUGUCGAUUUUGGAGGUUGUGCCCUUGAGGCGUGGCUUCCGGAGCUAACGCGUUAAAUCGACCGCCUGGGGAGUACGGCC
RNAcentral lists this ribosomal RNA (543 nucleotides) under uncultured bacterium. RNAcentral's name for it is "partial 16S ribosomal RNA". It matches the Rfam family "Bacterial small subunit ribosomal RNA", at positions 355 to 887 of the family's 1533-position model. The record is from RNAcentral.